ACGGGACCCGCACAAGCGUGGAUGAUGCGGAUUAAUUCGAUGCAACGCGAAAACCUUACCUACCCUUGACAUGUCCGGAAUCCCGAAGAGAUUUGGGAGUGCCCGCAAGAGAACCGGAACACAGGUGCUGCAUGGCUGUCGUCAGCUCGUGUCGUGAGAUGUUGGGUUAAGUCCCGCAACGAGCGCAACCCUUGUCAUUAGUUGCCAUCAUUUGGUUGGGCACUCUAAUGAGACUGCCGGUGACAAACCGGAGGAAGGUGGGGAUGACGUCAAGUCCUCAUGGCCCUUAUGGGUAGGGCUUCACACGUCAUACAAUGGUCGGUACAGAGGGUUGCCAACCCGCGAGGGGGAGCUAAUCCCACAAAGCCGAUCGUAGUCCGGAUCGCAGUCUGCAACUCGACUGCGUGAAGUCGGAAUCGCUAGUAAUCGUGGAUCAGCAUGUCACGGUGAAUACGUUCCCGGGUCUU
This 467-nucleotide ribosomal RNA is filed under the name uncultured Rhodocyclaceae bacterium. Its description in RNAcentral is "bacterial SSU rRNA". It matches the Rfam family "Bacterial small subunit ribosomal RNA", at positions 916 to 1381 of the family's 1533-position model. Lineage: Bacteria; Pseudomonadati; Pseudomonadota; Betaproteobacteria; Rhodocyclales; Rhodocyclaceae. The record is from RNAcentral.